GAUGAACGCUGGCGGCGUGCUUAACACAUGCAAGUCGAACGAAGUGGCGAACGGGUGAGUAACGCGUAAUCAACCUGCCCUUCAGAGGGGGACAACAGUUGGAAACGACUGCUAAUCCCGCAUACUGAAGGAGGGGAUUGCGUCUGAUUAGCUAGUUGGAGGGGUAACGGCCCACCAAGGCGAUGAUCAGUAGCCGGUCUUGGAGGGUGAACGACCACAUUGGGACUGGGACACGGCCCAGACUCCUACGGGAAGCAGCAGUGGGGAAUGUUCCGCAAAGGACGAAAGUCUGACGGAGCAACGCCGCGUGAGUGAUGACGGCCUUCGGGUUGUAAAGCUCUGUUAAUCGGGACGCGGUACCGGAAUAGAAAGCCACGGCUAACUACGUGCCAGCAGCCGCGGUAAUAC
This 408-nucleotide ribosomal RNA is filed under the name uncultured bacterium. Its description in RNAcentral is "partial 16S ribosomal RNA". It matches the Rfam family "Bacterial small subunit ribosomal RNA", at positions 28 to 526 of the family's 1533-position model. The record is from RNAcentral.